AUUAAAACAUUAGGUUUGUGGACAAAAGUUGACCCCAUGCUGCCUGAGAUGGAGAGAGAGAGCAGGUUGGCAGAGGAAUCACCAGCUCAAGGAACCCCAAGACUUGGACAGUCUUCCAGCAGAAGAGGCCAGGGUCUCUCAGUGUACUACCCCAAACAGGCCUCUCCCAGAGAUGUAGUCUGGAAAGGCCCAAAACCCACCAGGUACAGGCAUAUCCAGUGGGGAAAGACUUCCCAUUCCAGAAGUCCACCUCUGCUUCCUAGUCUUCUGCUGACCUCAGAGCAGCAGGGUGGCCAUUGCUAAAUUGCUAAUCUGGGUUAGGGAGAUGCCAGAAACACACCCAAGUUUGAACCACAGGUUAAUGGUACAAAGUCAUAUAGUCCUUGUGCCUUCAGAAAACCCAGGGGCCCCAAAUCCAAGUGGGAAGAGAGUUGGGAAAAACUGAACCAGAUUCUUCCAAUGGCCAUUAAAGAGAAAAUUCAGCAACCCUUGCCUUUGUCUUUGACCCUGAGAAGUUAAGGGACACAGAUUGUGGUGCUGUGAUGGGACAUGGAAAGUAUGGUGUGCUUCCUGUAGAGAUGCCUUUGGAGUCCCUGUGGCCAGGGGACCUCACUGGCCCCCUCCUCAGGCACCUUGAUGGGGCUCAGUGGGGCCAGGCCGAAGGGAGGAAGUAGAAAAGUAUCAUCAGGCUCUCCAGAUCAACGGGCACCAUCCAAGGCCCUGCUGCACCCAAACAUGGAGGCCUCCACCACCAGCUCAGCCCCAGGGGUUCUUUCACACAUAAGCUCCUUCCCUAAGGAGUCCUGUAGAGUUCGACAGUGUACUACCCAAGUCAGAGAUUCACCACAGAUCUGUCUCCUCCUCAACCUGGACUCAAGUUACUAAGGUGAGAAACUUCACUGUCCAUGGUUAACUGAAGAAAUCCUCCUUCAGAGAGAACGUGAGGGGUAGAUGAGGUGGUUAGACAGGGAGGAUCUUUUUCCCCAAGCUGUUUGGACAACACCACGGCCAGGACCAACUCUGACAGCUGCAAGAGAGCCCCUCCAAUGUGGAACCUCCUACACAUAGCCUUGCUUUUGGGUCCCUGGAUCUCAGCCCACAGCAGGGCCACUCUUGGGGGAACUCUCCCUCCCAUCCCUCAGAUCCCCACAUUGUUCUUCCUCUAGGAGAAAAGUGUCGGCCCUGCCCCUGGAUCUUCUCCAAGAUGGCACUGGACUCGCCACUAUCUUGAGGGGCCAGGAGCUGAAGUGGCUCAGGCUUAGCAAUCCACUGUGGCCAAAGUGGAAAGGUUCUUUGCAGUCACCAAAAAAAA
RNA transcript from Sapajus apella (tufted capuchin), 1312 nucleotides. RefSeq lists it as uncharacterized. Lineage: Eukaryota; Metazoa; Chordata; Mammalia; Primates; Cebidae. The transcript has a single exon. The record is from RefSeq and is a predicted model, not a curated record.